UGGGGAAUAUUGGACAAUGGGGGCAACCCUGAUCCAGCAAUGCCGCGUGUGUGAAGAAGGCCUUCGGGUUGUAAAGCACUUUCGGUGGGGACAAACAAGGCGGAGCUAACAUCUCCGUCCCUGAUGGUACCCAAAGAAGAAGCACCGGCUAACUCUGUGCCAGCAGCCGCGGUAAUACAGAGGGUGCGAGCGUUAAUCGGAAUUACUGGGCGUAAAGCGUGCGUAGGUGGUUUGUUAAGUCAGGUGUGAAAUCCUCGGGCUCAACCCGGGAACUGCGCUUGAUACUGGCAGACUCGAGUGUGGUAGAGGAUAGUGGAAUUCCCGGUGUAGCGGUGAAAUGCGUAGAUAUCGGGAGGAACGUCAGUGGCGAAGGCGGCUAUCUGGACCAACACUGACACUGAGGUACGAAAGCGUGGGUAGCAAACAGGAUUAGAUACCCUGGUAGUCCACGCCCUAAACGAUGGGUACUAGACGUCGGGAAGCUUGUCUUCUUGGUGUCGCAGCUAACGCAAUAAGUACCCCGCCUGGGGAGUACGGUCGCAAGAUUA
Molecule: ribosomal RNA, 548 nt
Filed under: uncultured bacterium
Lineage: Bacteria
Description: bacterial SSU rRNA
Rfam family: Bacterial small subunit ribosomal RNA
Source: RNAcentral